Molecule: ribosomal RNA, 465 nt
Filed under: uncultured Desulfobulbus sp.
Lineage: Bacteria; Pseudomonadati; Thermodesulfobacteriota; Desulfobulbia; Desulfobulbales; Desulfobulbaceae
Description: bacterial SSU rRNA
Rfam family: Bacterial small subunit ribosomal RNA
Source: RNAcentral
GCACAAGCGGUGGAGUAUGUGAUUUAAUUCGAUGCAACGCGAAGAACCUUACCUGGCCUUGACAUCCCGGGAAUUUCCUGGAAACAGGAGAGUGCUUUCAUUAGAGAGAACCUGGAGACAGGUGCUGCAUGGCUGUCGUCAGCUCGUGUCGUGAGAUGUUGGGUUAAGUCCCGCAACGAGCGCAACCCUUGCCUUUAGUUGCCAGCAGUUCGGCUGGGCACUCUAAAGGGACUGCCGGUGUCAAACCGGAGGAAGGUGGGGAUGACGUCAAGUCCUCAUGGCCUUUAUGGCCAGGGCUACACACGUACUACAAUGGCCGGUACAAAGGGCAGCGACAUUGCGAGAUGGAGCGAAUCCCGAAAAGCCGGUCUCAGUCCGGAUUGAAGUCUGCAACUCGACUUCAUGAAGGCGGAAUCGCUAGUAACCGCGAAUCAGCAGGUCGCGGUGAAUACGUUCCCGGGCCUU